This 600-nucleotide ribosomal RNA is filed under the name uncultured Trichophaea. Its description in RNAcentral is "eukaryotic LSU rRNA". The stretch from base 219 to 372 matches the Rfam family "5.8S ribosomal RNA". The record is from RNAcentral. Lineage: Eukaryota; Fungi; Ascomycota; Pezizomycetes; Pezizales; Pyronemataceae.
UCCGUAGGUGAACCUGCGGAAGGAUCAUUAAAAGUAAUUGGUUAUACAUAUCCUGUAUCAACUGCACAAACCCAUUCCGAGUACCUUGCCUGUUGCUUCCAUGGGGCCUGACUUUGGUCACUCUUGUGAUGCGAAUCCCAAGAGAGUCCCCAUGGGGGGUAAUCAUUAAAUUCAUGAAUCCAAUGUCUUCUGUCUGAAAUGUUAAAAACAAAUGUUAAAACUUUCAACAACGGAUCUCUUGGUUCUCGCAUCGAUGAAGAACGCAGCGAAAUGCGAUAAGUAGUGUGAAUUGCAGAAUUCAGUGAAUCAUCGAAUCUUUGAACGCACAUUGCGCCUCCUGGUAUUCCGGGAGGCAUGCCUGUUCGAGCGUCAUUAAAUACCUCUCAAGCACAUUUGCUUGGUCGUGGAAGAUGAGUAUGCUUGCAUUCUCCCUUCUGAAAUUCACAGGCGGAUGAUCUCAUAUCCCCAGGCGUAGUAAGUUUAUCUUUUCGCUCGGUGUGUGUGAUAGUCCUGCCUUCAACCCCCAAUUUUUUUUUCCAGGUUGACCUCGGAUCAGGUAGGGAUACCCGCUGAACUUAAGCAUAUCAAUAAGCGGAGGAA